Vicia faba (fava bean) is the source of this 228-nucleotide non-coding RNA. The record is from the annotation of a GenBank genome assembly. NCBI's taxonomy places the organism in Eukaryota, Viridiplantae, Streptophyta, Magnoliopsida, Fabales, Fabaceae.
AUGAUUUCAAACAAGAAUCGAGAAUUCACGCUAAUAUUCCAGAGUUAUCCAAAAAUCAACAUAGCAUGUAUUCCAACUGUUCUAAACAGAUCCAAACAAUUAGAUCAAACGAAUAUUCAAAUGUUUCAAAUCAAAUACGAAAACAAAGGUCUAAGCUCAUGCCAUAAAUACGAAACUGAAUCGCGACAUAUAUUUGAAUAUCUUGAUCAAGUUCAAACAAUCAAAUAA